This 497-nucleotide ribosomal RNA is filed under the name uncultured bacterium. RNAcentral's name for it is "partial 16S ribosomal RNA". It matches the Rfam family "Bacterial small subunit ribosomal RNA", at positions 28 to 507 of the family's 1533-position model. The record is from RNAcentral.
GAUGAACGCUGGCGGCGUGCCUAAUACAUGCAAGUCGAGCGAACAGACGAGGAGCUUGUUCCUCUGACGUUAGCGGCGGACGGGUGAGUAACACGUGGAUAACCUACCUAUAUGACUGGGAUAACUUCGGGAAACCGGAGCUAAUACCGGCUAAUACAUUGAACCGCAUGGUUCAAUAGUGAAAGACGGUUUUGCUGUCACUUAUAGAUGGAUCCGCGCCGCAUUAGCUAGUUGGUAAGGUAACGGCUUACCAAGGCGACGAUGCGUAGCCGACCUGAGAGGAUGAUCAGCCACACUGGAACUGAGACACGGUCCAGACUCCUACGGGAGGCAGCAGUAGGGAAUCUUCCGCAAUGGGCGAAAGCCUGACGGAGCAACGCCGCGUGAGUGAUGAAGGUCUUCGGAUCGUAAAACUCUGUUAUUAGGGAAGAACAAAUGUGUAAGUAACUAUGCACGUCUUGACGGUACCUAAUCAGAAAGCCACGGCUAACUACGUG